ACGAAAGUCUGACGGAGCAACGCCGCGUGUACGACGAAGGCCUUCGGGUUGUAAAGUACUGUCUUCAGGGAAGAAUGGCAUUUAUGUGAAUAAUGUAGAUGCAUGACGGUACCUGAGGAGGAAGCCCCGGCUAACUACGUGCCAGCAGCCGCGGUAAUACGUAGGGGGCAAGCGUUGUCCGGAAUCAUUGGGCGUAAAGGGCGCGUAGGCGGAUUUUUAAGUCUGGUGUGAAAACCUAGGGCUCAACCCUGGGACUGCAUCGGAAACUGGAGAUCUUGAGGACAGGAGAGGAAAGUGGAAUUCCACGUGUAGCGGUGAAAUGCGUAGAUAUGUGGAGGAACACCAGUGGCGAAGGCGACUUUCUGGACUGUAACUGACGCUGAGGCGCGAAAGCGUGGGGAGCAAACAGGAUUAGAUACCCUGGUAGUCCACGCCGUAAACGAUGAGUGCUAGGUGUAGAGGGUAUCGACCCCCUCUGUGCCGCAGUUAACACAAUAAGCACUCCGCCUGGGGAGU
RNAcentral lists this ribosomal RNA (516 nucleotides) under uncultured bacterium. RNAcentral describes it as "bacterial SSU rRNA". It matches the Rfam family "Bacterial small subunit ribosomal RNA", at positions 375 to 881 of the family's 1533-position model. The record is from RNAcentral.